RNAcentral lists this ribosomal RNA (45 nucleotides) under Metarhizium robertsii. Its description in RNAcentral is "partial 18S ribosomal RNA". Lineage: Eukaryota; Fungi; Ascomycota; Sordariomycetes; Hypocreales; Clavicipitaceae. The record is from RNAcentral.
CAUUACCGAGUUAUCCAACUCCCAACCCCUGUGAAUUAUACCUUU